RNAcentral lists this long non-coding RNA (620 nucleotides) under Anthonomus grandis grandis. RNAcentral's name for it is "uncharacterized LOC126737056". Lineage: Eukaryota; Metazoa; Arthropoda; Insecta; Coleoptera; Curculionidae. The record is from RNAcentral.
UCUAAAUACAAAAACAAUGAGGUUCUGACCAUAUAGACACCUUAUCGGCAAGGGACAAACAUUUCUCAGUCUCAACCUUGCGGAGAUACCUGAUAAAACUUGGAUUUAAGCUUAAGAUGGUUAACAAAAGAGCUGCUGUAAUGGAAUUGUCAGGUGGUGUAUAGAAUAUUUGAGGAAAAUUUAAAAAAUUUGGGAGGAAGAAAGAUCCAUAUAUUAUUUAGCCGAAACAUGAUAUGAUACAUUUAUGAUUGAUGUAUGAUUUCCAUUCUCUGGGAAAAAUGUCCCUUUUUUGCCAUAGUAAGAAAACCAUAUUUUUAUUAAUAAAACAAGUUUAAAAUUUUGUUUUUUACAGCUUACUGCCCCUGUUGUCCUUCAGUGAUACAAUAAAGACUGCUUCUUCCACCAUUCUCUGGGAAAAACCCUGUUUUGCUAUGCUUACUACCCCUGUUGUCCUUCAGCAACACAAUGAAGACUGCUUCUUCCUCCAUUCUCUGGAAAAAAGUCCCUUUUUUGCCAUACUUACUGCCCCUGUUUGUCCUUCAGCGACACAAUAAAGUAUAUAUAAUGUAAUGCUUUAGAAUCCAUAUGCUGAUGUGCGAGACGAAGUUGGAAUCCAUGGC